Molecule: RNA transcript, 1173 nt
Organism: Sapajus apella (tufted capuchin)
Lineage: Eukaryota; Metazoa; Chordata; Mammalia; Primates; Cebidae
Gene name: tubulin beta-4B chain-like
Exons: 1
Source: RefSeq, a predicted model, not a curated record
AUAAAUAAAAGAAACAUUUGUUAGGAAUAUAGUAGCUAACACAAAGGUAUCUGAACAUAAAAUUAAGAAACAGCAUAUUGAAUUCAGGACUAUACUAAAAAACACAAAGCAGCCAAGUGGCCAGGCCCCCCUGGGUAGGGGGACUGGGUCUGAGAUGGGUACCCUCCUCAUCAACAAGAUCUGGGAGGAGUACCCAGACAGGAUCAUGAACACGUUCACUGUGGUGCCCUUACCCAAGGUGUCAGACAUGGUGGUGGAGCCCUACAAUGCCACCCUCCCUAUACACUAGCUCAUAGGAAACACAGACGAGACCUACUGCAUUGAUAAUGAAGCUCUCUAUGACAUCUGCUUCAGAACCCUAAAACUGCUAUGCUCACCUAUGGUAACCUGAACCACCUGGUGUCUGCCACCAUGAGUGGGGUCACGACCUGCCUGUGCUUCCCAGACCAGCUCAAUUCUGACCUGCAGAAACACGCUGUGAAUAUGGUCCCAUUCCCUCACCGGCACUUCUUCAUGCCCAGCUUUGCCCCGCUGACCAGCCAGGGAAGCCAGCAAUCCCGGGCCCUGACAAUGCCCGAGCUCACCCACCAGGCCAAGAACAUGAUGGUGGCCUGCGACCCCCACCAUGGCCAUGUUUAGGGGCCACAUGUCCAUGAAGGGGGUGGAUAAGCAAAUGCUUAAUGUCCAAAACAAGAACAGCAGCUACUUUGUUGAGUGGAUCCCCAACAAUGAGAAAAUGGCUGUCUGUGACAUCCCACCCUGAGGGCUAAAAAUGUCUGCCACCUUCAUUGGCAACAGCAGGGCCAUCCAGGAGCUGUUCUAGCGCAUCUCGGAGCAGUUCACAGCCAUGUUUCCGCACAAGACCUUCCUGCACUGUUACACGGGCAAGGGCCUGGACAAGAUGGAGUUCACCAAGGCCAAGAGCAACAUGAAUUACCUGGUAUUCAAAUACUAACAGUACCAGGACACCACAGCUGAGGAGGAGGGUGAGUUUGAGAAGGAGGUGGCCUAGAGCCUCCAGUCACUGGGGAAAGCAGAGAAGCGGUGUGAACUCUUUAUUCACUCCCAGCCUGUCCUCUGGCCUGUGCCUCUGUGUGUGCACUUGCUGUUUUCCCUGUCCAUGUCCCAUGCUGUACAGACACCAUUAUUAAAGCAUUUUCAUAGUGAAAAAAA